RNAcentral lists this long non-coding RNA (1343 nucleotides) under Salmo salar (Atlantic salmon). Its description in RNAcentral is "lncRNA (ENSSSAG00000103362.1, ENSSSAG00075013337.1)". Lineage: Eukaryota; Metazoa; Chordata; Actinopteri; Salmoniformes; Salmonidae. The record is from RNAcentral.
GGCCGUCAGCGUGCUCUCCUGUGCCUCCUACAGGAACCAGGUCUCCCACGUGUUCCUCCGGCCCACCAUGCUGGCUGUGGCCAUGCACACCGCAGCCUCCUUCAAGAAGGGACUUUGAGGUGCCGGGUUACCUGCUGGUGAAGACUGGUGCUGUUCAGAUGCUGCAGCAGGACAUAGUGAUGACAGACAGAGGUCAGCCCCUACUUACCUUCUUCAAUGGCUUGCUGGAACCAUUCCUUUAACUCUACCAGGAGAAAAUGUCCCACUCAGAAAGCUGUCCAUGCUCGACUGUAAUUCAUUCACUUCGUGGGCCAAUGAAAACUCUGGAGAGUAAACUCUGCCUUCAUUACCAUAAUGCCACAUUUUCCAGGAGAGCAAAGCUUAGCCAACUACAAAGGCUGUUUGUCAUCGUUUUUUAAAAGGGACUUCACAGGGCUACCAUCUGGGACACUUUUCAUACACACAAGCUCUUCGAAUUUUGUAUAUGACAACGCUUGAAUAAUUUCUGGAGGUUGCCAACCAAAUUGCCAACCAAAAUGUUUGCCUGCACUACAGAUGGUUAUAUCGGGCCGCUAAUACAGGACUAGUAAAGGCCCAGUGCACUACUUUAGGGGGGAAAAAUAUAUAUUUGUUUUAUUCAGAUUUUUCAGGGGGUGCUGCAGAACCCUCAGAACCCCUACUCUCGUGGCUAUGGGUGGUGUGGACCUCUCCCUUUCUCCUCCACUGGGAUCAUUGCCUUUGUAUGUGUUUAUCGGGGAAACCGUUGUUCCAAAAGUUGGUCGGAUCAUGUUGUUUAUGGACCCAAUUGAGGAUACCAGCCUAUUAAGAUAAAGUAAACACUGGCUAGAUAAGAAAUUGUAUUUACUAUUUUAUUAUUUUAGAAAAACAGAUUUGGAAUAAGUGACACCCCCUCUUGUGAUCAAAGCCAAAAGGUUUGUGAUGAUUUCAUCAGAUAUGCUGAGGGGAAAUAUCCAAACAUGUUCCAUGAGAGCCAUAUGUUGUUUACAUCUGUUUUAUACACAUAGGCAGCAUUACAUAUCCAACUGCUAUGGUUCUGUAGCAUCAUUGUUACAUCAUUGUUACUCUGAUAUAUGACGACUAUUGUGUAAUACUCAAUUACAAUUUAGGACCUAAGAUCACACAGGUAACCCGACCACUGAGGAUUUGUCAUAUUCUCUACUGCCUGUUUCUAAACUGUUUUGAUAUGACUGUGUUUAAACUGCAGAUUUGACAAAAACAGGAAGAAUAUUACCAUGGUCUCUGUUACAAAUAUCUUUGUUACCAAGUCCAGCAGAUGCAUGGACUCCUGGUUUCCUGCCAAAGUAUAUAUUUACAUGUUACAG